GAAAUGCGAUAAGUAAUGUGAAUUGCAGAAUUCAGUGAAUCAUCGAAUCUUUGAACGCACAUUGCGCCCGCCAGUAUUCUGGCGGGCAUGCCUGUUCGAGCGUCAUUUCAACCAUCAAGCCCCGGGCUUGUGUUGGGGACCUGCGGCUGCCGCAGGCCCUGAAAAGCAGUGGCGGGCUCGCUGUCACACCGAGCGUAGUAGCAUACAUCUCGCUCUGGGCGUGCUGCGGGUUCCGGCCGUUAAACCACCUUCGAAACCCAAGGUUGACCUCGGAUCAGGUAGGAAGACCCGCUGAACUUAAGC
This 303-nucleotide unclassified non-coding RNA is filed under the name plant metagenome. RNAcentral's name for it is "partial contains 5.8S ribosomal RNA, internal transcribed spacer 2, and large subunit ribosomal RNA". The stretch from base 1 to 105 matches the Rfam family "5.8S ribosomal RNA", at positions 50 to 154 of the family's 154-position model. The record is from RNAcentral.